RNAcentral lists this ribosomal RNA (440 nucleotides) under uncultured bacterium. RNAcentral describes it as "partial 16S ribosomal RNA". It matches the Rfam family "Bacterial small subunit ribosomal RNA", at positions 338 to 795 of the family's 1533-position model. The record is from RNAcentral.
CCUACGGGAGGCUGCAGUGGGGAAUAUUGCACAAUGGGGGAAACCCUGAUGCAGCGAUGCCGCGUGAGUGAGGAAGGUCUUCGGCAUGUAAAGCUCUAUUGGCGGGGAAGAAAAAGACGGUACGGGAGUAAGAAGCCCCGGCUAUCAACGUGCCAGCAGGCCCGGUAAUACGGGGGGGGCAGGGGUUAUCCGGAAUUAAUGGGGGUAAAGGGAGCGUAGGCGGCGAGGAAAGUCUGAAGGGAAAGGCACCGGCUGAACCGAGGAACAGCUGUGGAAACUGUGUGGCUGGAGUACAGGAGAGGUAGGCGGAAUUCCUAGGGUAGCGGUGAAAUGCGUAGAUAUUAGGAGGAACACCGGUGGCGAAGGCGGCAUACUGGCCGUUAACUGACGCUGAGGCUCGAAAGCGUGGGGAGCAAACAGGAUUAGAUACCCCGGUAGUC